GGCGGGAAAACGAGGGAAAUAGAGAGAAUAUGCGACGAAGCUUUUUCUUACUUGGCAUUAUUAAUAAGGGUUACUUACUUAUUGCUUCAUUUCUCUCUCUCUCACGAAUUGGAAGUUUUUUUGCUUGUAAACAAUCAAUUGAGAACUAUGUUACUCUUAAGGACUGAAACUACAAGUUCAACACCUUUUUGAAUUCCCUGAAGCAUGAGAAGAACGUAGCAAAUGAAGUUCUCCCACUAAAAAUGUUUUGUUUGGUAACAGGGUUUCAGGUAUGCCACUCCU
Molecule: unclassified non-coding RNA, 282 nt
Filed under: Hevea brasiliensis (rubber tree)
Lineage: Eukaryota; Viridiplantae; Streptophyta; Magnoliopsida; Malpighiales; Euphorbiaceae
Source: RNAcentral